AUUUGGUGUACGCACUUUUGAUAAAUGAGGGACAUUGUCAUGUUCAAGAAACCAAUUUGAAAUGAUUCGAGCUUUGUGACAUGGUGCAUUAUCCUGCUGGAAGUAGCCAUCAGAGGAUGGGUACAUGGUGGUCAUAAAGGGAUGGACAUGGUCAGAGACAAUGCUCAGAAAUCGAGACUCAUCAGACCAGGCAACAUUCUUCCAGUCUUCAACUGUCCAAUUUUGCUGAGGAAAUGGCCCUUGAUUUGAACCAAGGAAGGCCUGUGAUGGAAGGAUCUGUAUGUAACAGGAUCCAGACGCAGUACAGUAUGACAGCCAGCCUGGCAACAUAGUAAGUAUGGG
Long non-coding RNA from Esox lucius (northern pike), 342 nucleotides. The record is from Ensembl. Lineage: Eukaryota; Metazoa; Chordata; Actinopteri; Esociformes; Esocidae.